Molecule: ribosomal RNA, 1127 nt
Filed under: Parastagonospora avenae
Lineage: Eukaryota; Fungi; Ascomycota; Dothideomycetes; Pleosporales; Phaeosphaeriaceae
Description: eukaryotic LSU rRNA
Rfam family: Eukaryotic large subunit ribosomal RNA
Source: RNAcentral
GCGGUCCAAGUUCUUUGGAACAGGACGUCACAGAGGGUGAGAAUCCCGUACGUGGUCGCUAUCCUUCGCCGUGUAAAGCCCCUUCGACGAGUCGAGUUGUUUGGGAAUGCAGCUCUAAAUGGGAGGUAAAUUUCUUCUAAAGCUAAAUACUGGCCAGAGACCGAUAGCGCACAAGUAGAGUGAUCGAAAGAUGAAAAGCACUUUGGAAAGAGAGUCAAAUAGCACGUGAAAUUGUUGAAAGGGAAGCGCUUGCAGCCAGACUUGCCUGUAGUUGCUUAUCCGGACUUUUGUCCGGUGCACUCUUCUGCGGGCAGGCCAGCAUCAGUUUGGGCAGUUGGAUAAAGGUCUCUGUCAUGUACCUCUCUUCGGGGAGGCCUUAUAGGGGAGACGACAUGCAACUAGCCUGGACUGAGGUCCGCGCAUCUGCUAGGAUGCUGGCGUAAUGGCUGUAAGCGGCCCGUCUUGAAACACGGACCAAGGAGUCUAACAUCUAUGCGAGUGUUUGGGUGUCAAGCCCAGACGCGUAAUGAAAGUGAACGGAGGUGGGAACCCUUUGGGUGCACCAUCGACCGAUCCUGAUGUUUUCGGAAGGAUUUGAGUAAGAGCAUGGCUGUUGGGACCCGAAAGAUGGUGAACUAUGCUUGAAUAGGGUGAAGCCAGAGGAAACUCUGGUGGAGGCUCGCAGCGGUUCUGACGUGCAAAUCGAUCGUCAAAUUUGGGCAUAGGGGCGAAAGACUAAUCGAACUAUCUAGUAGCUGGUUCCUGCCGAAGUUUCCCUCAGGAUAGCAGUAACGUAUUCAGUUUUAUGAGGUAAAGCGAAUGAUUAGAGGCCUGGGGGUUGAAACAACCUUCACCUAUUCUCAAACUUUAAAUAUGUAAGAAGUCCUUGUUACUUGAUUGAACGUGGACAUUUGAAUGUACCGUUACUAGUGGGCCAUUUUUGGUAAGCAGAACUGGCGAUGCGGGAUGAACCGAACGCGGGGUUAAGGUGCCAGAAUAUACGCUCAUCAGACACCACAAAAGGUGUUAGUUCAUCUAGACAGCAGGACGGUGGCCAUGGAAGUCGGAAUCCGCUAAGGAGUGUGUAACAACUCACCUGCCGAAUGAACUAGCCCUGAAAAUGGAUG